This 30-nucleotide non-coding RNA is filed under the name Homo sapiens (human). Lineage: Eukaryota; Metazoa; Chordata; Mammalia; Primates; Hominidae. The record is from RNAcentral.
UCCUCCACUGCCAUUGUCAUAAAGCAUGGG